AAAUCAUCUUCGGGGCGCUGACGGGCAUUCGUCGGCUGAGAAGCACUCGAGGAACUUGACGCGGAUAAUGCCGACGAAAGGAAAGGUGAUGCUGAACGC
This 99-nucleotide non-coding RNA is filed under the name Chlorobium sp. RNAcentral describes it as "TPP sequence". It matches the Rfam family "TPP riboswitch aptamer (THI element)". Rfam says of the family: Vitamin B(1) in its active form thiamin pyrophosphate (TPP) is an essential coenzyme that is synthesised by coupling of pyrimidine and thiazole moieties in bacteria. The previously detected thiamin-regulatory element, thi box was extended, resulting in a new, highly conserved RNA secondary structure, the THI element, which is widely distributed in eubacteria and also occurs in some archaea. Analysis of operon structures identified a large number of new candidate thiamin-regulated genes, mostly transporters, in various prokaryotic organisms. Lineage: Bacteria; Pseudomonadati; Chlorobiota; Chlorobiia; Chlorobiales; Chlorobiaceae. The record is from RNAcentral.